This 465-nucleotide ribosomal RNA is filed under the name uncultured bacterium. RNAcentral's name for it is "partial 16S ribosomal RNA". It matches the Rfam family "Bacterial small subunit ribosomal RNA", at positions 28 to 507 of the family's 1533-position model. The record is from RNAcentral.
GACGAACGCUGGCGGCGUGCUUAACACAUGCAAGUCGAACGGAAAGGCCCUGCUUUUGUGGGGUGCUCGAGUGGCGAACGGGUGAGUAACACGUGAGUAACCUGCCCUUGACUUUGGGAUAACUUCAGGAAACUGGGGCUAAUACCGGAUAGGAGCUCCUGCUGCAUGGUGGGGGUUGGAAAGUUUCGGCGGUUGGGGAUGGACUCGCGGCUUAUCAGCUUGUUGGUGGGGUAGUGGCUUACCAAGGCUUUGACGGGUAGCCGGCCUGAGAGGGUGACCGGCCACAUUGGGACUGAGAUGCGGACCAGACUCCUACGGGAGGCAGUGGGGAAUAUUGCACAAUGGGCGGAAGCCUGAUGCAGCAACGCCGCGUGCGGGAUGACGGCCUUCGGGUUGUAAACCGCUUUCGCCUGUGACGAAGCGUGAGUGACGGUAAUGGGUAAAGAAGCACCGGCUAACUACGUG